AGAAAAGAAGUUUCAAAAUAUUUGACCUGCAAUCAAAAGAAGGUAGGGUCUCCCCGCCCUUUUCUG
Molecule: transfer RNA, 66 nt
Filed under: Poecilasma litum
Lineage: Eukaryota; Metazoa; Arthropoda; Thecostraca; Poecilasmatidae
Description: tRNA-Ala
Source: RNAcentral